GGUGAGAAUAGUACCUAAAGGCAUGCUGUAGCUUCUUGCUUUGAAGUCUCUUGAACUGCUGUGCAACAAAUUUAAGGUCUUCAGCUUGAAGCGCAAAAGCUUCGACUUCAGACAGAGCUCUAACGGUCCGAGUUGAAGAAGGCAGGUUUACACUAGAAUUGGGCAUUAAAGCCCACGUCAAUAAUUCCUCACCACAAAAGUCACCAGGUCUAAGGGUGAUGGAGUUGAAGAAUCCAGAUCUUCCUCCAUUAGUCGUUGAGCUCUCCAAUUGUCCUCUAAUUAUAAACAGCAUCUCAUUUACUGGUUCACCCUCUCGAAAUAUAUAGGUGCCCUCAGUACUCAAAGAAGAGGC
RNAcentral lists this unclassified non-coding RNA (352 nucleotides) under Hevea brasiliensis (rubber tree). The record is from RNAcentral. Lineage: Eukaryota; Viridiplantae; Streptophyta; Magnoliopsida; Malpighiales; Euphorbiaceae.